This 25-nucleotide non-coding RNA is filed under the name Mus musculus (house mouse). The record is from RNAcentral. Lineage: Eukaryota; Metazoa; Chordata; Mammalia; Rodentia; Muridae.
UUGGAAGUAUUCGUGCAGAGAUAGG